Molecule: ribosomal RNA, 491 nt
Filed under: uncultured bacterium
Lineage: Bacteria
Description: partial 16S ribosomal RNA
Rfam family: Bacterial small subunit ribosomal RNA
Source: RNAcentral
AGUGAACGCUGGCGGUAGGCCUAACACAUGCAAGUCGAACGGCAGCACAGUAAGAGCUUGCUCUUACGGGUGGCGAGUGGCGGACGUGUGAGGAAUACAUCGGAAUCUACUUUUUCGUGGGGGAUAACGUAGGGAAACUUACGCUAAUACCGCAUACGACCUACGGGUGAAAGCAGGGGAUCUUCGGACCUUGCGCGAUUGAAUGAGCCGAUGUCGGAUUAGCUAGUUGGCGGGGUAAAGGCCCACCAAGGCGACGAUCCGUAGCUGGUCUGAGAGGAUGAUCAGCCACACUGGAACUGAGACACGGUCCAGACUCCUACGGGAGGCAGCAGUGGGGAAUAUUGGACAAUGGGCGCAAGCCUGAUCCAGCCAUACCGCGUGGGUGAAGAAGGCCUUCGGGUUGUAAAGCCCUCUUGUUGGGAAAGAAAAGCAGCAGGUUAAUACCCCGCUGUUCUGACGGUACCCAAAGAAUAAGCACCGGCUAACUUCGU